GCCAGCAUAGCUCAGUGGAGAGACCAUGCUACUCCUAAUAGCAAGGUCAGGAGUUCGACUCACCUUGCUGGCG
This is a transfer RNA of Marchantia polymorpha subsp. polymorpha, 73 nucleotides long. It matches the Rfam family "tRNA". Rfam says of the family: Transfer RNA (tRNA) molecules are approximately 80 nucleotides in length. Their secondary structure includes four short double-helical elements and three loops (D, anti-codon, and T loops). The record is from Rfam. NCBI's taxonomy places the organism in Eukaryota, Viridiplantae, Streptophyta, Marchantiopsida, Marchantiales, Marchantiaceae.